RNAcentral lists this ribosomal RNA (504 nucleotides) under uncultured bacterium. RNAcentral's name for it is "bacterial SSU rRNA". It matches the Rfam family "Bacterial small subunit ribosomal RNA", at positions 28 to 523 of the family's 1533-position model. The record is from RNAcentral.
GAUGAACGCUAGCGACAGGCUUAACACAUGCAAGUCGAGGGGCAGCAUAAAAGUAGCAAUACUUUGGUGGCGACCGGCGCACGGGUGAGUAACGCGUAUGCAACCUACCUAUCAGAGGGGGAUAACCCGGCGAAAGUCGGACUAAUACCGCAUAAAACAGGGGCACCGCAUGGUGCUAUUUGUUAAAAAUUUAUUGCUGAUAGAUGGGCAUGCGUUCCAUUAGGUAGUUGGAGAGGUAACGGCUCACCAAGCCUACGAUGGAUAGGGGAACUGAGAGGUUGGUCCCCCACACUGGUACUGAGACACGGACCAGACUCCUACGGGAGGCAGCAGUGAGGAAUAUUGGUCAAUGGGCGAGAGCCUGAACCAGCCAAGUCGCGUGAAGGAAGAAGGAUCUAUGGUUCGUAAACUUCUUUUGCAGGGGAAUAAAGUGCAGGACGUGUCCUGUUUUGUAUGUACCCUGAGAAUAAGGAUCGGCUAACUCCGUGCCAGCAGCCGCGGUAA